UUUUCCUCCUGUCCUAAAUGGUGGCUGAUUGUUACUCUGUGUGUUGCUAAUAGCUGUUAAAGUGUACCCUGGAGACCCCUGAAUCCAGCAAGGGAAGAAAUGUCUAUCACAAACAAUUUGCCAUCUCACUUUCUCAAAGUUUUUUUUUCUUCUAAAAGGGAAAAUGAAAAGCUGGAACUUGAUUAUGAACAACAAGGGUUUCCUUACAGCCAGGAUUGUUCAUGAAGCCAAAAUGGGAAGUACUUGAAGCUCUACCUAACCUAGUCCAACCCCUUGCAAUGCAGGAAUCUCAGCUGAAGCAUCCCUGACA
Molecule: non-coding RNA, 310 nt
Organism: Podarcis muralis (Common wall lizard)
Lineage: Eukaryota; Metazoa; Chordata; Lepidosauria; Squamata; Lacertidae
Source: RefSeq, a predicted model, not a curated record